This is a non-coding RNA of Taeniopygia guttata (zebra finch), 7019 nucleotides long. The record is from RefSeq and is a predicted model, not a curated record. NCBI's taxonomy places the organism in Eukaryota, Metazoa, Chordata, Aves, Passeriformes, Estrildidae.
GACAGGGGCGAAAGCGGGGGGUGCGAGUGCAGCGGUGGUAUGCUCUGAGCGUCCGGUGAUGCGUUCGAUGUCGAGAAUCCGUGAGGCCGCCGAAGCGGCCACCCGGAUGGCGCGGGAGAGCAGCUCCCUGACCGCGGCAGCCGCAUUUGCCGAGGGAGCGGCAGAGGGACAGCGGGAUGCGUCCCUCGCUGCAGCUCAGGCGGCGGGCAUGCACGGGAAGGUUGAGCGGAACCCGGAAGCCACAGGGGGAGGGGAUUUUUCGCAUCUGGAACGCGCGGCACGGGCGCGGGCGGGGCGGAGCCGGCACACGCGGGCUGUGGGUGCUGGCACAGAGCCAGGAGAGGGGCAAAGCGAGGCGGAAACAUCAGGGCCAGAAUGGGAACAGGAAGGUAGUUGCGUCAGUCUCGGGGAGGAUGACAGUGGCUCUGAAUCUGAGGCAGUGCGGGGUGGAGCUAGGCGAAAGCGCGGCCGGGGUCGGAGCAGAGGCGUCCACACCCCCGUGAUGACGCAGGCAGAGUCGGGGCGUGGCCAGGAUGUAAACAUUCCUCAGGGCACGGUUCCGAUGCAGUUCCCAUGGCAACAGUCAGCCCAAGCCCACAGCCAACCCCUGUCAGCUUCAGACAUGGGCAGAAUAGAACAGUUGUUACAAGAGUCAGUUUCACAGAGUGCAGGGAUUGCAAACGUGAAUCAGUUAUGGGGAGAAAUGCUCAAACAUUUAUCAGGAAUUACCACGGGGUUUGCAAAUGUAAAUCAGUUGUCAGAAGAGAUGCUCAAAUAUUUAUCAGAAGUGCAAAUUGAAGAGCCAAGUGCAGUCCCGACCUCAGUUGGUCAGGCGGCAGCGCCAUCUAGUGGCGGAACCACAUCAUUGCAGCAGAUUUUACAGGACCCAGUCAGACAAGGCAAGGUAUCACACAGUGGUGGGACUUUGACAAUUCAAGACUUUUUUCCAGUUUCUUAUAAGAAAAAAUCUAGGAUGAGAAGAGCUGCAUCUGCACGACAGCAGGAAUCUCCGCUGACUCCAAAGAGUGUGGGACUCAGGACACUUCUGCUGGGGGUCAACAACAGGAUGACACGAUUCGCAUCACUGCCUCGGAGGGUGUCCCAGCUUGGACAAUUCCAAAAUCAAGGUCUGCCAAAAUUUCGGGGCAGGGAGAAUCAAUUUCAGUAUCAAAAAGGGUUGUUGAAUUUCUUUUACGAUAUUUAAGCAUAGCCUUGGAGUCGCAGCCAGAGCUGUUGGUUCAUCUUCCAAAAAUUUUCCAAAUAAUGCAGGGCAGUCAUGUGUUCUCCUCCACAGCAGGUGCUCCACUUUUCUCCAGAGGCACCCAGCCUUCAUCUUCACAGAUGCCGCAGACGCCGUUGGUAUCGGUGAGUGCUGCUGCAUCAAAACUGCAGUCACCUCAGAUGACUCCACUCUACAGGCAAGUACCCACAGAAUUUCCAGCUUUGCCAGAUGCGAAAGUGGACUGGCAGGACAUUCGGGCAGAAUUGGAGAAGGAGAAAGGUUUAUUGCAGGGUUCGGGAAACAUAGUGAUGCCAGUGAACUAUGAUGCUCAGGGCCAAAACCCGAGAUGGGAACGCCUGGAUCGUGGAGCAAUCAAAGAUUUAGCUAAGGCCAUUCGGGACAAUGGGUUGUCAUCACCAUAUUUCAAACAGAUGUUGAAAAGCAUUUUUGGCAUGUAUGAUUUAACACCAUAUGAUCUUAAAUAUCUCGCAACAUCAGUUCUUACAGACACCCAAGCUCUCAUUUGGCAGAAGGCGUGGCGGAGAUCCCUGGAGGAGCUGAGAGCCAGAUACCAAGGCAGGCCAAACGCGAACCUCACCAUGGUGCAGCUUGCCGGUGAUCCUCCUGAGGACGAUCCAACUCAACAGGCGGUGAGACUCCCACGGCACGUGCUCAGCGACAUCAAAGAGGCGGCACGGAGAGCAAUUCUUCAGAUUGCUCCGGCGGGGGUCCAGGACAACAUCUACACCGAGAUCAAGCAGGGUUCUUCAGAGCCAUUUUCCUCGUUCGUGGAUCGUCUUUCUCAGGCAGUGGAGCGGCAGGUGACUGAGGAGGGGGCGAAACCACAUCUGACCAAAAGCCUCGCCUUCUCCAAUGCCAACCCAGAGUGCAGGCGAAUCAUCAGCAUGAUGCCACACCAGGCCACCUUGGCAGACAUGAUCAAGGCGUGCAGCAAGGAGAGGGAGACAUCUCGCGAGUGAGUGCCACUCACAGACAGACGUGGAUGGAAAACCUCUUCCGGUUCCGGGAAACGGGAAAAAGAGCGCGAAUCGACGCCAGCGCGCACCGACACAAAUUCUGGCGGUGACACAGAAUCAACAGGAGCAAUCCUCGGGGAACAACAAACAGAAUCCUUCAGCAGAGCAAUCUCCAAAAUCCCCAGCGACCCAGACUUGGUACCACCCGGAUUCCAACGCGUCCUGGCAACCUCCAAAUUGACGUGUUUUUUGGACAAUAGCCAUGCAGUGAUACCCACAGGUGUCACAGGGACUUCUUGGAAAAGGCAGGAUUUUUUAAUAAUGGCCAGAGACAGAAGCAGCAUUCUUGGACUUGUUGUUUACCCAUCUUUGAUUUCAGCAAACCGUAAUGAGGAGCUGAUGGUCACAGCAAAAGCCUUGCAACCACCUUUGACAAUUCCACAAAAUACACCAAUUGCUCGAGCCAUGGCUUUGCCAUCUCACCCAGAAAGGCAAGUCAUGCCAGUGUUCAACAUACGGGACUCUUUUUCUGGUGAUCAAGCAGAAGUGCAUGCAUCUUGGGUGAAACAUGUGAGCCGAGAUCGGCCUGUUGUUACUUGUCAGUUGACUUGUAACGAAAAGCCAAUUACUAUCACGGGAAUGCUUGACACAGGAGCAGAUGCUACAGUUAUUUCAUACAUUUUUUGGCCCCGGGAAUGGGACUUGGUUGCACCUUUGGGCUCUCUCUCAGGCAUAGGAGGAAGUUCCCUAUGCAUGCAGAGUGAAAAUGCAAUCGUUGUCAGAGGCCCGGGAGGGAAAACAGCAGUCAUCCGUCCUUUCAUCGUGCAAAAGCCCAUCACAGUGUGGGGAAGGGAUCUUUUGGCACAAUGGGGACUGAAAUUAGAAUUGGAUUUUUGACAGGGGUCACUGUGGCACUCGCCACUCUGAAGUUGACCUGGAAAACAAAUGAUCCUGUUUGGGUGGAUCAGUGGCCCCUUGAGUGAAAGAAAUUGAGUGCCUUGAAAAAGUUGGUCCAGGAACAGCUGCAGAAGGGACACAUCAAACCCACAGACAGCCCAUGGAAUUCUCCAGUGUUCGUCAUUCACAAGAAAACUUCAGGGUCUUGGAGACUGCUUCGUGAUCUCAGGAAAAUCAACGAGGUCAUCGAGGACAUGGGACCACUUCAGCUUGGACUCCCAUCUCUCUCAAUGAUCCCGAGAGACUGGUCACUUGUGAUCAUUGAUCUCAAGGACUGUUUUUUCAGCAUUCCACUUCAUCCAGAUGAUGCUCCACACUUUGCAUUUUCUGUCCCAAGCAUCAACAGAGAAGAACCUCUGCAAAGGUACCAUUGGACAGUUCUUCCGCAAGGUCUCAAAAAUUCUCCAACCAUUUGUCAGUGGUACGUGGCCCAAGCAUUGCAUCCAGCACGAGAGAAGCAUCCAAAACCAAAAAUUAUUCAUUAUAUGGACGAUUUGCUCAUUGCAGCACCGACAAAAAAGGAGGUGCAAGAGGUUCGUGACUGUGUGAUUGCACAGGUGCAAAAGGCAGGACUGGAAAUCAGUGCACCAAAAAUACAAGAAAUUGCACCUUGGAAAUAUCUGGGCUGGAAAAUCUCGAAGCAAACAAUAAGGCCACAGAAGCUGGAGAUCAACACAAAGGUCACCAAUCUGCAGGGUUUACAGCAGCUUUUGGGGGAGAUCAACUGGAUGAGACCAAUCCUGGGAAUCACCAAUGAUGACAUCUCGUCACUGCUCGAUCUUUUGAGAGGGGACAACAACAUCAAAUCUCCCAGAACUCUGACGCCUGAAGCAAGAAAAGAUCUUGAGAAGAUCACAGACAUGAUUCAACAGAGACAAGCACAUCGCUUUGUGGAAUCAUUGCCUUUUCAUUUAGCAGUGUUGGGGGAAACAGCACAGUUAUAUGGGUUGAUUUUUCAAUGGGAUUUGUCUCAAAUGGACCCUCUUUUGUUGAUAGAGUGGGUUUUUUUAGCUUACAGGCCCUCAAAAACAAUUCUUACAGAUUUAGAAAUGAUAGCACAAAUUAUUAUUAAAGCGAGAACCAGAUUGCUGGUGAUGUCAGGCAGGGAUUUCUCAGUCAUUCAUGUACCUUUAAAGAAAGUAUAUUUUGAGUGGGCGAUGCAGAAAUCACAGGAUCUUGCAAUUGCUUUGUUAGGAUAUCCAGGGAUUUGUACAGUUCAUUUCCCGGCGCACAGGAUGUUAAAUGCAAAAGUGAGUUUCAGGGAAAAGCCAAAAAUAAGCCAGGAACCAGUGGAAGGGAUGACAAUAUUCACUGAUGGUUCAGGGAAAACUCACAAAUCAGUGGUCACAUGGCAAAAUCCAAAAACAGGGGAAUGGGAAUCAGAUAUAAAAAUAAUACAGGGUUCACCACAAAUUGUGGAAUUGGCAGCAGUGGUCAGGGUUUUUCAAUUGUUUCAGGAACCUCUCAAUCUGAUCACAGAUUCAGCAUAUGUUGCAAAUGUGGUCAAACGAUUAGAGGGAUCACUUUUGAAACACACUGACAAUGAAAUUUUAUAUUCAUAUUUGUUAUGCAUGAGGACAAUUCUAGAAAAUAGAGAGCACAAAUAUUUUGGUGCACGCAUCAGGGCACAUUCCUCACUCCCAGGGUUCUUAGCAGAAGGGAAUGCUCACGCAGAUAGGCUCACAAUGACCAUAUCACAGACAUUGCCAGAUAUUUUUGAGCAGGCAAAAUUAAGCCAUGCAUUUUUCCAUCAAAAUGCACAGGCGCUGGUGGAGUCCUUCCGCCUUUCUAAAAGUCAGGCGCGGGAGAUCAUCAGUGCUUGCCCAGAUUGUCAGCUUGUGCAGCCUCCUGCAUCCACAGGAGCUGUCAAUCCAAGGGGAUUGCAGAGUCUUCAGCUGUGGCAAGCUGAUGUCACAAAAUACCCAUCUUUUGGGAAGCUCAAAAAUAUCCAUGUUUCAGUUCACACAUUUUCAGGGGCAAUUUUCGCAUCACUACAUACAGGGGAAACUGCAGAACAUGCCUGCAGACAUUUUUUGCAAGCAUUUGCAUCACUCAGGGUGCCACAAGAAAUAAAAACAGAUAAUGGUCCAACUUACACAGGCAAGGUGCUUGACAAAUUUCUGAAAAAAUGGGGAGUCAAACACAUUUUUGGUAUUCCUUAUUCUCCCUCAGGUCAAGCAAUCAUUGAAAGAACACAUCACACCCUGAAAUCCCUCUUGGAUAAACAGAAAAGAGGGGAAGCAGGCGCAACACCGCACAUGCGGUUGAAAUGGUCUUUCUCAGAACCCACUCCACCAAUUGUUAGGCACUUCACAAACAGCACACAAGCAAAGCUAAGGGAAAAUCCUUUAGUUUUGAUCAGAAAUCCAGAAUCGGGACAAAUUGAAGGUCCAUUUACAUUAAUAACUUGGGGCAAGGGUUUCGCUUGUGUUUCCACAGAGCGAGGACCGAAGUGGGUGUCGGCGAGGCACGUGAAACCUUAUCGGGUGCAGACGCAAGUGGACGUGGACCCGAGAAGCAGAGAAGCAAGCACGCAGACGAAGGCAGAAGACGACGACGCAGACGUCACAUCAGACAACGACUGAUCACCCAGAGACUUGGGGGGUUUUCUUUUCCUGGGAAAUCAAGUGUUGUUUGGGUGUUGCUGCAUUGCAGGGUCUCUCACAGAGGGUGGGGGCAUGGACAUGGGAUUCAGGCAGAUAGUGUUCAUGUGCUUCAUUCUCUUGCCUAUUGCCUUGGGCGAUUGGACAGACUUUCCCGUGAAACAACCAAGGGAAAAUGUGUGGGAAACUUUGGCAAAGGCAGCGGGUCUGGACAGCAUUUGUCUGACUCAUUCAAAGCCAGGGAAACCAUUUUCAACAUGUUUAGUAGGUGUGCCAGUGAAGGAAUGGCCAAUUCCAAAAAGCAUCCCUCCAGAGAUUCUGAAAACUUUUUCAGAUCCUGUGGAAGGAUGGCAAGUUUGGACACAGUACCUUCCUGUGGCUCACUUGGAACCUCCAGAAUUGGACAUUUUUGGAUCAACAAAAAUGAAAUGGUGCAUUGAAUUUAAUUCAUCAGGAGUGGCAAAGACAGACAAUCAUACAAUAGAUGUCACUCCCAAUCAGCCUUUUUAUAAAAAUGCAUCAUCUUGGUGCGAUCACACAAAAAUGACAAGCAAACCAUCCCUUCAACACCCAGCCACUUUACCGAAGGGAAUGUUUUUCAUUUGCGGGGACAGAAUUUGGCCUGCUAUCCCUGCAAAAAUCAAGGGCGGUCCAUGCAGCAUCGGGGAACUCUCAUUGUUAACACCUGAUUUGAAAACUUUACAAAAGCAGACACACAGGGAAAAAAGAUCCCUUGAACAAUAUAGUCCAAAUUGUGAUGAUGAUGUUUCUACCUGGAACAAGGCUCAGAGAAUUGCAAUAGCAAUUUUCUCACCCCAAACAGCAUCAGGGGUGGCCUUGACACAAUUGGAUCAUAUAGCGUGUUGGUUGAGUAAACACAGUCGUGCCAUUUUGUUUGCACUGAGUGACAUGUUAACAGACAUCAGCGGUGCAAGGCAAGCAGUGCUUCAAAACAGGGCGGCAAUUGAUUAUUUGCUGCUGACACAUGGGCACGGAUGUGAGGAAUUUGAGGGGAUGUGCUGCAUGAACUUGUCCGAUCAUUCAAAAUCUAUUCAUGAAAAUAUAAAAAAAAUACAGAAUAGAUUAGCAAAUUGAACAGAGUUACAGGGUCCUGGUGGGAUAAUUUGUUUAACUUUUUUGAUAUCUCACCAUUGUGGAAAGAACUUUCGAAAAUAGCAUUUUAUAUUCUUAUAGGGCUUGUAGUUCUUCUGCUUGUUCUACCAUGCAUUUUCGUGUGUAUUCGAAAGACCUUGAACAGCA